Molecule: long non-coding RNA, 198 nt
Organism: Lontra canadensis (Northern American river otter)
Lineage: Eukaryota; Metazoa; Chordata; Mammalia; Carnivora; Mustelidae
Exons: 3
Source: RefSeq, a predicted model, not a curated record
AGGAGCACAUGGUCAUCCCAACAAUCUGAUGCAAGCUUUAGGGGUACUUAGACAUUUUCCUCUGCUACAUCAUUUUCAGGUACCAACACCAUGGCCAGGAAAGUCCAAGCAAGCACAGAACUACCUCCUCCUUAGACAGCACACAGCAGAGCCACCGAGCCCUUGCAGGGUCCCCAGCUGCUCCGGCCCCACAGGCUG